GGCAGUUAUUUGCCUGAUAUCGGAUGAAGACGGACUGCGAAUAACAAUGGCUGUGAUUUCAUAAGAGCAGCCUCCAGCUUAUUGAAAAAACUGCUGCAAAGGUUCUUUCCCACCACCUCUGCACAAGGAAAAUGCAUCAUUUUGGAAAAACACCCUGUUAACUUCGGGCUAGUUCAUCUUGCUAAAUAACCCAAGCUGGUGACUGUGGCGUGACUAUUUCACAGACCUACAAUGCCACCACCGCCACAAUGCAGGUAGCAACUCCUCUGUCUUUUCAGCGCUCCCAGGCACUUCUGCUCACCCGUCUCACAGCUUUGCUCCCAAUAAACCACAGAGGAAAGAGAAGUUAUCUAAUGCUGCCCAGAAACUACGGAGCGGGAUGCAGAGAGCUCUGUGUUUCCUUGCUACACCUCUUUUCUGCUGUCCAGGCUGAGCUCAUGCUCUCAGAAGUUCCUCUUUUGGUGGAAGUAACGUGUCCAGCACCUCUCCCAUCCUACAGUGAACUCGCUGGUCCCUUAUUUUCUGCGUAGACUAGUGUGUAUGUAGGUUACUGUGUGUGUUUGUGCAUGUGGAGAAGAUAUACCUGUUUAAAUUUGUGGGUAUGCGUGCUUGUUAGGAGUUCCAUAAUUUCUCCUGGAGUUUCCUUAUGUGUAAAAUGGAGAUGAUAACACGUAAUUACCUAUCUUGCAGGGCUGUUGUAAGGACAAAUUAACCAAUGCUUCUGUGGGUGUUUAGAGAUGAAAAGCAUGAUAUUAAGACUAAAUAUAAUGAUUGAGUGUUGUAGCAGAGAGUUUGUAUUUAUUAUGGUGAUU
Long non-coding RNA from Struthio camelus australis, 812 nucleotides. RefSeq lists it as uncharacterized. Lineage: Eukaryota; Metazoa; Chordata; Aves; Struthioniformes; Struthionidae. The record is from RefSeq and is a predicted model, not a curated record.